RNAcentral lists this unclassified non-coding RNA (338 nucleotides) under soil metagenome. Its description in RNAcentral is "partial contains 5.8S ribosomal RNA, internal transcribed spacer 2, and large subunit ribosomal RNA". The stretch from base 1 to 120 matches the Rfam family "5.8S ribosomal RNA", at positions 35 to 154 of the family's 154-position model. The record is from RNAcentral.
GAUGAAGAACGUAGCAAAAUGCGAUAAGUAAUGUGAAUUGCAGAAUUCAGUGAAUCAUCGAAUCUUUGAACGCACAUUGCGCCCGCCAGCAUUCUGGCGGGCAUGCCUGUUCGAGCGUCAUUUCAACCCUCAAGCUCUGCUUGGUGUUGGGGCCCUACGGUUGACGUAGGCCCUUAAAGGUAGUGGCGGACCCUCUCGGAGCCUCCUUUGCGUAGUAACUAACGUCUCGCAUUGGGAUUCGGAGGGACUCUUGCCGUAAAACCCCCAAAUUUUCUAAUGGUUGACCUCGGAUCAGGUAGGAAUACCCGCUGAACUUAAGCAUAUCAAUAAGCGGAGGA